Molecule: ribosomal RNA, 649 nt
Filed under: uncultured bacterium
Lineage: Bacteria
Description: bacterial SSU rRNA
Rfam family: Bacterial small subunit ribosomal RNA
Source: RNAcentral
AGAGUUUGAUCCUGGCUCAGAAUGAACGUUGGCGGCGUGGAUUAGGCAUGCAAGUCGAACGCGAAAGCUUCCUUCGGGGAGCAAGUAGCGUGGCGUAAGGGGCAGUAAUGCAUGGGUAACCUACCCCCCGGUCUGGGAUAUACGGCGGAAACGCCGGGUAAUACUGGACGUCGUCUCCGAGCGGCAUCGCCUGGAGAUGAAAGAUUUAUCGCCGGGGGAGGGGCCCAUGUCCUAUCAGCUUGUUGGUGAGGUAACGGCUCACCAAGGCAGCAACGGGUAGGGGGUGUGAGAGCAUGGCCCCCGUCACUGGGACUGAGACACUGCCCAGACUCCUACGGGAGGCUGCAGUCGAGAAUCUUCGGCAAUGGGCGAAAGCCUGACCGAGCGACGCCGCGUGGGGGAAGAAGGCCUUCGGGUUGUAAACUCCUGUUGGGGGGAAGGAAAUCAUGACCGAACCCCUGAGGAAGCACGGGCUAAGUUCGUGCCAGCAGCCGCGGUAAGACGAACCGUGCGAACGUUAUUCGGAAUCACUGGGCUUAAAGAGCGCGUAGGCGGCAUCGUAAGUUGGAGGUGAAAUCCCAUCGGCUCAACCGUGGAACUGCCCCCAAUACUGCGGUGCUCGAGGGAGAUAGGGGCAUGUGGAACUUCC